UACCCAGGGUUAGGGCUUCCACAUCUUUUUGAGGGAGACGGUUGAACCCAUAACAUCGUGUUUAUUUUAGGAAGCCAGGGAAAAGAGGGCUCAUGUUCCUUUGCCUUGUGACAAAGCAUAAAGUGGAGUAGCCUGGAGGGGUAGUGGUUGAGGCAAGGAAGAAGACACUGGGUGGUGUUAGGAGAAACUUGCGAAAGAAGAGAUGAAAAACUUGAGACUAAGACGCCAACGACUUUUCAAAGAUUCCACAGCCACCUGUGUCAGAAUGGAGCUGAAUUCAACAUCUUCUGAUGAAUCCAACUGCAUCACUGACAGCCAGUGUGAGCUUGGCACAUUUGUGCAGCCGUACAUGGAGGUCAUGAUUAUAACAGCUCAUCCGCAGAGAGAGGUGACUGCAAGUGUAUUGGGCAGUCCUGUCAUGACUAUAAGGAGCUUCACCUGCGUGGAAGGGCAUGAGGCUCUGGACAACCCCUAACCACCAAUCCUGUCUCCUUCCUGAUGGUGCUGUGGCUUCCAUGCCUAACUGUAUUGUUAGUUUAAAAAGUAUGAC
Herpailurus yagouaroundi (jaguarundi) is the source of this 550-nucleotide long non-coding RNA. RefSeq lists it as uncharacterized. NCBI's taxonomy places the organism in Eukaryota, Metazoa, Chordata, Mammalia, Carnivora, Felidae. The record is from RefSeq and is a predicted model, not a curated record. The transcript has 3 exons.